This 728-nucleotide ribosomal RNA is filed under the name uncultured fungus. RNAcentral's name for it is "SSU rRNA". It matches the Rfam family "Eukaryotic small subunit ribosomal RNA", at positions 330 to 1062 of the family's 1831-position model. Lineage: Eukaryota; Fungi. The record is from RNAcentral.
AGGAUAGAGGCCUACCAUGGUGGUAACGGGUAACGGGGUGUUAGGGCACGACACCGGAGAGGGAGCCUGAGAAACGGCUACCACAUCCAAGGAUGGCAGCAGGCGCGCAAAUUACCCAAUCCCGACACGGGGAGGUAGUGACAAUAAAUAACAAUACGGGGUUCUUUAGGAUCUCGUAAUUGGAAUGAGUACAAUUUAAAUCUCUUAACGAGGAACAAUUGGAGGGCAAGUCUGGUGCCAGCAGUCGCGGUAAUUCCAGCUCCAAUAGCGUAUAUUAAAGUUGUUGCAGUUAAAAAGCUCGUAGUUGAAUUUCGGGGUUAGUAGGUUGGUCAUGCCUCUGGUAUGUACUGGUCUCACUGAUUCCUCCUUCCUUAUGAACCGUAAUGCCAUUAAUUUGGUGUUGCGGGGAAUUUGGACUGUUACUUUGAAAAAAUUAGAGUGUUUAAAGCAAGCUAACGCUUGAAUACAUUAGCAUGGAAUAAUGAAAUAGGACGUUCGAUCUUAUUUUGUUGGUUUCUAGGAUUGACGUAAUGAUUAAUAGGGAUAGUUGGGGGCAUUAGUAUUCAAUUGUCAGAGGUGAAAUUCUUGGAUUUAUUGAAGACUAACUACUGCGAAAGCAUUUGCCAAGGAUGUAUUCAUUAAUCAAGAACGAAAGUUAGGGGAUCGAAGACGAUCAGAUACCGUCGUAGUCUUAACCAUAAACUAUGCCGACUAGGGAUCGGAUGAUG